CAAACAGGUAGUGCAGGUAAGGUCAUCUGUGGGUGGAGAGAACUUGAUUCACAUGCAAACAAGUGAUGACAUGCAGUAUAUGACAGGGUGAGAACACUGAUUAUAAGGAUAUGUGUCGUGGCAGCAAUGAUACAUAGUAAAAGAAACGUCUAGUACACAUGGUUCAGCCAGCAGAACACAUCAGGACAUUAGGAGUUUCUCUACUUUCGUGGAACAUGACAGCAAUGGCUUUUACAAUCUGUUUUUUGAGUUUGGAGUUCAUUGGACUGGCUUUGAAGGAUGUUGAAUUUCCUCAUAAUCUUUUUGAGAACAAGAUCAAUUCUUGUUUUUCAAUUUUUUCAGGCUUAAAGGAAUCAGAAUUUUCUUUUUUGGAACAUUUCAACCAGUUUCCUCCAACAAAUUUUGUCAAAAUGUUUUUAUCGUAUUACCCAAGACAUCGGAGAGAGAAAAUAACACUCCAACACUGCAGGCCCAAUCAGUGAAGGAAAAGAUUUCUUUCGCAAGGACCGUAUUUGGCCCCCGGGACAUGAGUUUGACACAUGUGGUCUACGGGACUCCACGCCACACAAUGCAAUGUGCAAAACCUUUCCGACAAUGUCAAUAAAAGGAGGUUUACAGUCGAGCUGCA
RNAcentral lists this long non-coding RNA (628 nucleotides) under Gouania willdenowi (blunt-snouted clingfish). RNAcentral describes it as "lncRNA (ENSGWIG00000025667.1)". Lineage: Eukaryota; Metazoa; Chordata; Actinopteri; Blenniiformes; Gobiesocidae. The record is from RNAcentral.